RNAcentral lists this ribosomal RNA (969 nucleotides) under uncultured bacterium. Its description in RNAcentral is "bacterial SSU rRNA". It matches the Rfam family "Bacterial small subunit ribosomal RNA", at positions 535 to 1500 of the family's 1533-position model. The record is from RNAcentral.
GAGGGGGAUCUCGGAUACUGGGCGUAAGCGCGUGUAGGCGGCCUCCUCAGUCUGGUGUGAAAGCCCGGGGCUCACCCCCGGAAGUGCAUUGGAUACUGGGAGGCUGGAGUACCGGAGAGGAGGGUGGAAUUCCUGGUGUAGCGGUGAAAUGCGCAGAUAUCAGGAGGAACACCGAUGGCGAAGGCAGGUCUCUGGGCAUUAACUGACGCUGAGGAGCGAAAGCAUGGGGAGCGAACAGGAUUAGAUACCCUGGUAGUCCAUGCCGUAAACGUUGGGCACUAGGUGUGGGGGACAUUCCACGUUUUCCGCGCCGUAGCUAACGCAUUAAGUGCCCCGCCUGGGGAGUACGGCCGCAAGGCUAAAACUCAAAGGAAUUGACGGGGGCCCGCACAAGCGGCGGAGCAUGCGGAUUAAUUCGAUGCAACGCGAAGAACCUUACCAAGGCUUGACAUGGGCCGGACCGGGCUGGAAACAGUCCUUCCCCUUUGGGGCCGGUUCACAGGUGGUGCAUGGUUGUCGUCAGCUCGUGUCGUGAGAUGUUGGGUUAAGUCCCGCAACGAGCGCAACCCUCGUUCCAUGUUGCCAGCGCGUAAUGGCGGGGACUCAUGGGAGACUGCCGGGGUCAACUCGGAGGAAGGUGGGGACGACGUCAAAUCAUCAUGCCCCUUAUGUCUUGGGCUUCACGCAUGCUACAAUGGCCGGUACAAAGGGUUGCGAUACUGUGAGGUGGAGCUAAUCCCAAAAAGCCGGUCUCAGUUCGGAUUGGGGUCUGCAACUCGACCCCAUGAAGUCGGAGUCGCUAGUAAUCGCAGAUCAGCAACGCUGCGGUGAAUACGUUCCCGGGCCUUGUACACACCGCCCGUCAAGUCACGAAAGUUGGUAACACCCGAAGCCGGUGGCCUAACCCCUUGUGGGAGGGAGCUGUCGAAGGUGGGACUGGCGAUUGGGACUAAGUCGUAACAAGGUAAC